GCCGAAGUGGUGGAAUUGGUAGACACGCCAUCUUGAGGGGGUGGUGGCGCGAGCCGUGCCGGUUCGAGUCCGGCCUUCGGCACCA
This 85-nucleotide transfer RNA is filed under the name Gammaproteobacteria bacterium. Its description in RNAcentral is "tRNA-Leu". It matches the Rfam family "tRNA". From Rfam's summary of the family: Transfer RNA (tRNA) molecules are approximately 80 nucleotides in length. Their secondary structure includes four short double-helical elements and three loops (D, anti-codon, and T loops). RNAcentral also lists the same sequence under 2 other names. The record is from RNAcentral. Lineage: Bacteria; Pseudomonadati; Pseudomonadota; Gammaproteobacteria.